GAUGAACGCUGGCGGCGUGCCUAAUACAUGCAAGUAGAACGCUGAAGGAGGAGCUUGCUCUUCUGGAUGAGUCGCGAACGGGUGAGUAACGCGUAGGUAACCUGCCUGGUAGCGGGGGAUAACUAUUGGAAACGAUAGCUAAUACCGCAUGACAACAGGUAUUGCAUGAUAACUGUUUAAAAGGGGCAACUGCUCCACUACCAGAUGGACCUGCGUUGUAUUAGCUAGUUGGUGCGGUAACGGCUCCCCAAGGCGACGAUACAUAGACGACCUGAGAGGGGGGUGCGCCACCCUGGGACUGGGACACGGGCCCGACUCCUACGGGAGGCCGCAGUAGGGAAUCUUCGGCAAUGGACGGAAGUCCUGCCGAGCAAAGCCGGCGUGGUGGAGGAAGUUUUCCGAUCGGAAAACUCUGUUGAAAGAGGAGAACGAGUGGUAGGGUGAAAAGUUCACGUUUUGACGGUAUCUAACCAGAAAGGGACGGCUAACUACGUG
RNAcentral lists this ribosomal RNA (495 nucleotides) under uncultured bacterium. Its description in RNAcentral is "partial 16S ribosomal RNA". It matches the Rfam family "Bacterial small subunit ribosomal RNA", at positions 28 to 507 of the family's 1533-position model. The record is from RNAcentral.